Molecule: ribosomal RNA, 2921 nt
Filed under: Staphylococcus sp. T93
Lineage: Bacteria; Bacillati; Bacillota; Bacilli; Caryophanales; Staphylococcaceae
Description: 23S ribosomal RNA
Rfam family: Bacterial large subunit ribosomal RNA
Source: RNAcentral
GAUUAAGUUAUUAAGGGCGCACGGUGGAUGCCUUGGCACUAGAAGCCGAUGAAGGACGUUACUAACGACGAUAUGCUUUGGGGAGCUGUAAGUAAGCUUUGAUCCAGAGAUUUCCGAAUGGGGAAACCCAGCAUGAGUUAUGUCAUGUUAUCGAUAUGUGAAUACAUAGCAUAUCAGAAGGCACACCCGGAGAACUGAAACAUCUUAGUACCCGGAGGAAGAGAAAGAAAAUUCGAUUCCCUUAGUAGCGGCGAGCGAAACGGGAAGAGCCCAAACCAACAAGCUUGCUUGUUGGGGUUGUAGGACACUCUAUACGGAGUUACAAAGGACGACAUUAGACGAAUCAUCUGGAAAGAUGAAUCAAAGAAGGUAAUAAUCCUGUAGUCGAAAAUGUUGUCUCUCUUGAGUGGAUCCUGAGUACGACGGAGCACGUGAAAUUCCGUCGGAAUCUGGGAGGACCAUCUCCUAAGGCUAAAUACUCUCUAGUGACCGAUAGUGAACCAGUACCGUGAGGGAAAGGUGAAAAGCACCCCGGAAGGGGAGUGAAAUAGAACCUGAAACCGUGUGCUUACAAGUAGUCAGAGCCCGUUAAUGGGUGAUGGCGUGCCUUUUGUAGAAUGAACCGGCGAGUUACGAUUUGAUGCAAGGUUAAGCAGUAAAUGUGGAGCCGUAGCGAAAGCGAGUCUGAAUAGGGCGUUUAGUAUUUGGUCGUAGACCCGAAACCAGGUGAUCUACCCUUGGUCAGGUUGAAGUUCAGGUAACACUGAAUGGAGGACCGAACCGACUUACGUUGAAAAGUGAGCGGAUGAACUGAGGGUAGCGGAGAAAUUCCAAUCGAACCUGGAGAUAGCUGGUUCUCUCCGAAAUAGCUUUAGGGCUAGCCUCAAGUGAUGAUUAUUGGAGGUAGAGCACUGUUUGGACGAGGGGCCCCUCUCGGGUUACCGAAUUCAGACAAACUCCGAAUGCCAAUUAAUUUAACUUGGGAGUCAGAACAUGGGUGAUAAGGUCCGUGUUCGAAAGGGAAACAGCCCAGACCACCAGCUAAGGUCCCAAAAUAUAUGUUAAGUGGAAAAGGAUGUGGCGUUGCCCAGACAACUAGGAUGUUGGCUUAGAAGCAGCCAUCAUUUAAAGAGUGCGUAAUAGCUCACUAGUCGAGUGACACUGCGCCGAAAAUGUACCGGGGCUAAACAUAUUACCGAAGCUGUGGAUUGUCCUUUGGACAAUGGUAGGAGAGCGUUCUAAGGGCGUUGAAGCAUGAUCGUAAGGACAUGUGGAGCGCUUAGAAGUGAGAAUGCCGGUGUGAGUAGCGAAAGACGGGUGAGAAUCCCGUCCACCGAUUGACUAAGGUUUCCAGAGGAAGGCUCGUCCGCUCUGGGUUAGUCGGGUCCUAAGCUGAGGCCGACAGGCGUAGGCGAUGGAUAACAGGUUGAUAUUCCUGUACCACCUAUAAUCGUUUUAAUCGAUGGGGGGACGCAGUAGGAUAGGCGAAGCGUGUGAUUGGAUUGCACGUCUAAGCAGUAAGGCUGAGUAUUAGGCAAAUCCGGUACUCGUUAAGGCUGAGCUGUGAUGGGGAGAAGACAUUGUGUCUUCGAGUCGUUGAUUUCACACUGCCGAGAAAGCCUCUAGAUAGAAAAUAGGUGCCCGUACCGCAAACCGACACAGGUAGUCAAGAUGAGAAUUCUAAGGUGAGCGAGCGAACUCUCGUUAAGGAACUCGGCAAAAUGACCCCGUAACUUCGGGAGAAGGGGUGCUCUUUAGGGUUAACGCCCAGAAGAGCCGCAGUGAAUAGGCCCAAGCGACUGUUUAUCAAAAACACAGGUCUCUGCUAAACCGUAAGGUGAUGUAUAGGGGCUGACGCCUGCCCGGUGCUGGAAGGUUAAGAGGAGUGGUUAGCUUCUGCGAAGCUACGAAUCGAAGCCCCAGUAAACGGCGGCCGUAACUAUAACGGUCCUAAGGUAGCGAAAUUCCUUGUCGGGUAAGUUCCGACCCGCACGAAAGGCGUAACGAUUUGGGCACUGUCUCAACGAGAGACUCGGUGAAAUCAUAGUACCUGUGAAGAUGCAGGUUACCCGCGACAGGACGGAAAGACCCCGUGGAGCUUUACUGUAGCCUGAUAUUGAAAUUCGGCACAGCUUGUACAGGAUAGGUAGGAGCCUUUGAAACGUGAGCGCUAGCUUACGUGGAGGCGCUGGUGGGAUACUACCCUAGCUGUGUUGGCUUCUAACCCGCACCACUUAUCGUGGUGGGAGACAGUGUCAGGCGGGCAGUUUGACUGGGGCGGUCGCCUCCUAAAAGGUAACGGAGGCGCUCAAAGGUUCCCUCAGAAUGGUUGGAAAUCAUUCAUAGAGUGUAAAGGCAUAAGGGAGCUUGACUGCGAGACCUACAAGUCGAGCAGGGUCGAAAGACGGACUUAGUGAUCCGGUGGUUCCGCAUGGAAGGGCCAUCGCUCAACGGAUAAAAGCUACCCCGGGGAUAACAGGCUUAUCUCCCCCAAGAGUUCACAUCGACGGGGAGGUUUGGCACCUCGAUGUCGGCUCAUCGCAUCCUGGGGCUGUAGUCGGUCCCAAGGGUUGGGCUGUUCGCCCAUUAAAGCGGUACGCGAGCUGGGUUCAGAACGUCGUGAGACAGUUCGGUCCCUAUCCGUCGUGGGCGUAGGAAAUUUGAGAGGAGCUGUCCUUAGUACGAGAGGACCGGGAUGGACAUACCUCUGGUGUACCAGUUGUCGUGCCAACGGCAUAGCUGGGUAGCUAUGUGUGGACGGGAUAAGUGCUGAAAGCAUCUAAGCAUGAAGCCCCCCUCAAGAUGAGAUUUCCCAACUUCGGUUAUAAGAUCCCUCAAAGAUGAUGAGGUUAAUAGGUUCGAGGUGGAAGCAUGGUGACAUGUGGAGCUGACGAAUACUAAUCGAUCGAAGACUUAAUCAA